RNAcentral lists this ribosomal RNA (259 nucleotides) under uncultured prokaryote. Its description in RNAcentral is "partial 16S ribosomal RNA". It matches the Rfam family "Bacterial small subunit ribosomal RNA", at positions 524 to 782 of the family's 1533-position model. The record is from RNAcentral.
UACGUAGGUGGCAAGCGUUGUCCGGAAUUAUUGGGCGUAAAGCGCGCGCAGGCGGUCCUUUAAGUCUGAUGUGAGAUCACGUGGCUCAACCACGUGCGGUCAUUGGAAACUGGAGGACUUGAGUGCAGAAGAGGAAAGUGGAAUUCCAAGUGUAGCGGUGAAAUGCGUAGAGAUUUGGAGGAACACCAGUGGCGAAGGCGACUUUCUGGUCUGUAACUGACGCUGAGGCGCGAAAGCGUGGGGAGCAAACAGGAUUAGA